UACGUAGGGGGCAAGCGUUGUCCGGAAUCAUUGGGCGUAAAGAGCGUGUAGGCGGCCCGAUAAGUCCGCUGUGAAAGUCCAGGGCUCAACCCUGGGAUGCCGGUGGAUACUGUCGGGCUCGAGUCCGGAAGAGGAGUGUGGAAUUCCUGGUGUAGCGGUGAAAUGCGCAGAUAUCAGGAGGAACACCAAUGGCGAAGGCAGCUCACUGGGACGAUACUGACGCUGAGACGCGAAAGCGUGGGGAGCAAACAGG
RNAcentral lists this ribosomal RNA (253 nucleotides) under uncultured bacterium. RNAcentral describes it as "partial 16S ribosomal RNA". It matches the Rfam family "Bacterial small subunit ribosomal RNA", at positions 524 to 776 of the family's 1533-position model. The record is from RNAcentral.